CCCGCUGAAUUUAAGCAUAUUAGUCAGUGGAGGAAAAGAAACUAACCAGGAUUCCUUCAGUAACGGUGAGUGAACAGAGAUGAGCCCAGUGCCGAAUCCCCGUCCCACAGUGGGGCACGGGAAACGUGGUGUACAGAAGACCCACUCACCAGUGCCGCUCUCGGGGUGGGGUCCAAGUCCUUCUGAUUGAGGCACAGCCCAUGGACUGUGUGAGGCUGGUAGUGGCCCCUGGCACACCAAGACUGGGUCUUCUUGGAGUCGGGUUGCUUGGGAAUGCAGCCCAAAGCGGGUGGUAAACUCCAUCUAAGGCUAAAUACCGGCGCAAGACCAAUAGUCAACAAGUACCGUAAGGAAAAGUUGAAAAGAUCUUUGAAGAGAGAGAGAGUUCAAGAGGGUAUGAAACCAUUAAGAGCUAAAUGGGUGGGGUCUGUAAUUUGAUUUUUUUUUUCUUAAAAGAAAAAAAUAUUUUUUCCAGGAAAAACUCCUUCACAGUCAGGGUGUCCAGACUGUGGAUUAAACUCCCUCCAGUGGUGGUGCAGUCACCUACCCUGGAAAUCUUUAAAAGGAGGCUGGACAGUCACCUCGCUGGGGUCACUUGACCCCAGUUGUCUUUUCCUGCCUAGAGCAGGGGGGCUGGACCCGAUGAUCUACAAGGCCCCUUCCAGCCCUUAACAAUCUG
RNAcentral lists this non-coding RNA (679 nucleotides) under Alligator mississippiensis (American alligator). RNAcentral's name for it is "Eukaryotic large subunit ribosomal RNA". It matches the Rfam family "Eukaryotic large subunit ribosomal RNA", at positions 24 to 664 of the family's 3401-position model. The record is from Rfam by way of RNAcentral. Lineage: Eukaryota; Metazoa; Chordata; Crocodylia; Alligatoridae.